AUGCGUUGGAGCUUCCUGCUUGUUUUUUCAUACGCGUUCCAUUCUGAGCUGUUUUCAACCACUAAACACCGACCGCGCCAUGAAGUGUGGCCUUUUUCGGACGUGAGCGAUCACCUUAGGUUUCAGCUCCUGUUUAAAGCGACGCCCUGGGGCCUCCAGCGACGGGAUGGACGACGGUUUGGAGAGAAGCUCGUAAACUGCGAUCUCGAGCGUUCGUCUUCAAAUAAAGGCGGCGCGGAUCAGCGAUAAAAGGGACUUUUGGUGUCACGGCCCCUCGCCUUCCCAACGGCAACGGCAACGUUCGCCAGGUUCAAGAUCACCGGUCCUCCCGCGGUUCGCGCAUCGCGCACAUCGCUCGACACCCAUCUUGCGGACACCGAGCCCGGCACACAGUGGAGUACCUGUAUAGGGAGAGUACGGCCAGAUCGGUUCAUGGAGGGCUUAGGGCCCAAAAGUGCAGCCACCCUUCUAACCAACUUUUAACGCACAAAAUUUCACUGCAGUAUCUGUCGGGCGUCUGCAAGUUAGAGUAGCUGUAAAGAAAGAGUAUGGGCAACUCGAAAUAUGUAGCUCUUGGGGCCCAAAAGGGUAGGUAACCUUUGAAAGCAAAAAAUUUCACUGUCAAUCUUUAGACUCCAAUACCAAACGAAAAUGGACAAGAAAAUUCAUAAGUAAGCAUUCUUCCGCAAAAAUGAGUGAGUUGAUGCAAAAACCAAUUCAAUUCGUGCUUUACCAUCGACAGCUCCCAACAAUUGUGAUUAUAAAUCACUCUGGAUAAUUUGAACUCAUAGAUUGCCUACCUUUUUGGGGUCUAAGAGCUUCAUCACCUAACCUCAAAAUUUUCGACUUGUCCAUAUACUCUCCCUAUAUAGAUACUCUACUGCAAGUAGGUAUGGGAGUCAUUUCAGCAAAAUCUUAGGAGAGACAAAAGUUACAAUGCCUUUGUAGAGAGAGUAUAGAUAUUGGGCCUCAUGGAAACCAUUGGGAAAAAUGAAGCACGUAACGUCGCCCUAAAGUAAGGGCGUAUCUCAAUUUCUAUUUGAGCCCCGUUAUCCAUAGAGCUCUGUGCUUUGAGGAGCUCAUGUAGAAUUAGAGAUACACAUUUACGCCAGAGCAGCAACGAUAAGUAUCACUGGGAAAAGGAUGCCGUACCAUCCCAGGUUUCACUGAUGUCAAGUAAAAAGUGAAAAACUCGUCAGUCUGUGAAACAAACUUUUGAGAAAAAAAUAAGUUGUAAAAUUUGUUUACAUAACCCGUAAAAUUUUUUAAUAAUUUUUUAGUAUUGUUAAAAAUCUCGUGAAUAAUCCAUAAGGUGUCGGUCAAAGGGGAACAUUCGACUAUUAAUAUGUGGGUUUGUAUUUAACAUUAUCGACCGGCGGCCGCUGGCGUAAUUUUUAGACUUUUGACCGGCCAGUCCAUGGACUCGGACUUGCUUUCCGGUUCUCGGAAUGGGCGAAAACAUCCACCAGUGCGCGAAUUGGCCAACGGGGAUGGCCUGUCUACCGACGGAACACAAGACCACAAGAGUCUCCGAACUGGACAAUUCCGUCCACCAUGAAUAACGAAAGCAGAAUUAUUGGCAAUUUAAAGUCUUAAAACUUAAUUAAAGUCACAAAAAAUUUAAAACAAUUUUUAGGAAAGAUGAGUCAACCAUCGGAAAGAAGGGGAGUUUUUUCGAUCAAAAUGUAUGUAGCUGUAAAUAAAAUCAUUAUAGAAUGCAAUUCCAACCCAUAAUUGAGCUUGCAUGAUCAUUACGUAUUGUUUUUGAUAAAAAAGAAAUCAACUCUUUUAAUGCAUAUUUGGCUGUUUAGUGGUUGGCGUAGUUCCAUUGUGCGACUAUUUUAUUGUAAAUUCUUUGGAGAUAAACCUUUGCCAAAUAGUCUAAAGAGCUCCCAAAUCCUAGUCUGAAGUAGAGUGUAAUCGAGAUACACCAUUACUGCAAGUUGGCAAGGAUGCGCCUUGUUUAAUUACUACCUUCCUCGUUUUCGCAUUUUCGACACUUUGUAAAUUGAUUCCCUGCGGCCGCAGGACCGUAAACCUAAAAUCUGCGUUGUCAAGGCUAGUCCGCUGUUUACAUUGAUUCACUUACAUGAGAUGAGCGAAACGAUGACAAAAGGCGGGACUGAAGGAUUGAGCCGCGAGCUAGACUGUGCAGCAUUUAAUCCGACCGCUUUUAAUGUUUAAUGGAGUCCCCUAAAACCAGCAAUUUCGUGGGAGAUUGUUGUUUUUAAGCUAGGGUCAAACUUGUGAAAUAUCACUUUAAAUCUUGGUCCAUUCCGUGCCUUGAAAUUGAUGCCCUUGAGUUUGCUCGAGCUUUUAUUUUAUCAGAACUUAAUCAAAUUUAAAUGGUCAGUUGAAUUUAUUCCGAGAUCUUAUUUAGACGAUUAAAAAGUGCCCACAGGAAAAGUAAUACAUCAAUACGUCCAAUUAAUUAAUUUUUAGUAGAUACUUAGUUGCUUUAUAAGUAAGGAAAAUAUAUUUUCCUUCAUGAAUAAUAAUUUUUAAUACUAUUCGCCACUGAGUGCGCAUCGCAGUUUUUCCAUCAAGGUUGUACAAAAAGUAAUAAAAAUGGAUGAACCUGUAUGCAUUGUGCGAAUCAAAUCAAUAAAUUAGGAAGGGGAGAAUUAUUGGUACUGAUUACCACAUUCGAUGACAUAAAUUGUAGUUUUUUUUUCAAGUUUGAUAUUUUUAGUGAGUUAAUUUGUACACAAACUUAGUUUUUGGAUGAAUCUGAUUGUAUGUUUAAACAAACAGGUUCAAAUCUCUAACACACAGCCGAUGCUAUGCCAUCAGGCGCUUCUGCCUCCAUCUUAAUUGAGGAGGAUAGCGUUAUUCAGUAAAUUCUUGAAUCCUAAAGUAAUUUCUGCCGUUAUUUAGUGUUUAUAUUUUGUAAGACAAUGUGGAAUUUUGUAAAAUUAUACUGUUGCUGAAUAAAUAAAAAAAGAAUAAAAAAAGUAUCUGAACACGCUUUAAUGAUUAGCGCAACUGACAAAUUUUGUAUAUGAAUGCAAUUUUUGUAUAAGUAACCAUCCUUAACCUUACCCGAAGUUCAUCUUUCUGCGAGAAUGGCGUUUCAGACGGUGAAACUUCAAAACCGUUCACGCAACCUAUUUUUCUUUUUUAAGUUACUCAAGAAUCACCAUG
RNAcentral lists this long non-coding RNA (3144 nucleotides) under Bemisia tabaci. Its description in RNAcentral is "lncRNA ENSASIAIIG012207". The record is from RNAcentral. Lineage: Eukaryota; Metazoa; Arthropoda; Insecta; Hemiptera; Aleyrodidae.